Oncorhynchus tshawytscha (Chinook salmon) is the source of this 1361-nucleotide long non-coding RNA. The record is from Ensembl. NCBI's taxonomy places the organism in Eukaryota, Metazoa, Chordata, Actinopteri, Salmoniformes, Salmonidae.
AAAUGUCCCAUUGUACUAAUUUGAUCUAUAUAUUUUAUUUAACAAAAGUAGGUUCUUAGUGAAUUUAAGCAGAUUACUUGAAAACAUUUUGACAUACCAGUGAUUAUGUUUGCUGAAAUGUAUUUCUUGAUACUACAGGAUAAGUACUCAAUAAUCAGAGUGUACAUGGUUCCAGGAGUAAGGUCUGAGAAAACAGCUUUGGUGGCUGAGGUCUCACUCUGGCUUGAGUUGGAACCAGACUCCAGCUUCACUUUGUACUGUAUCUGCUGGUCCAGGUUAAUACCUGUCCAACUUACACUGAUUAACUUACUGGUGAUUUUCUCCAGCCUGAUGACAUUCACCAGAGUUUCUGACACUGAAAACAAAUGACAAUAAAUAAAGGUCAAAUAAUUCUGUGUAUGUACAGCAAUUUUUUUUUCGUUGGUAUCAAUUUGUAAGUUAAAAAAUAAAUAAUUCUAUACUAUGUCUACUACUUUUGUUAUUAAGAAUCAUAUUAUCUUAUGAUGGUUUUUGAGAAUGAGUGCAUAUAAUCUUACCGCAUUCUGCAACAGUGGUUUUGAUUGUUGUCACCAAAGUAGUGUCUCUGAAAGUUAGUCCCUGUGAGGGAGUUGAGGGAGUGGAUACUGCUACAAAUGUUGAGGUUCUUGUUAUUACUGUAGUAGUACCACUUGUUAAUGGCAUUAUUGGUCUUAGAGUAGUGACAUCACUUGUGACUGUCGAUGUAGCAGUGGGAGUUGUGGCAUCACUUGAAGUGACUGUAGACGUAGUUGAAGUAGUGGUGGCAUCGCUUGAAGUGACUGUGGAUGUAGUUGAGGGAGUGGUGGCAUCACUUGAAGUGACUGUAGACGUAGUUGAAGUAGUGGUGGCAUCACUUGAAGUGACUGUGGAUGUAGGUGAAGUAGUGGUGGCAUCACUUGAAGUGACUGUGGAUGUAGUUGAAGGAGUGGUGGUGGUGGCAUCACUUGAAGUGACUGUUGAUGUAGUUGAGGGAGUGGUGGCAUCACUUGAAGUGACUGUUGAUGUAGUUGAGGGAGUGGUGGAAUCACUUGAAGUGACUGUUGAUGUAGUUGAGGGAGUGGUGGCAUCACUUGAAGUGACUAUUAAUAUAGUUGAGUGAGUGGUGGAAUCACUUGAAGAGGGUGUUGGUGUAGUUGAGGGAGUGGUGGAAUCACUUGAAGUGACUGUUGAUGUAGUUGAGUGAGUGGUGGAAUCACUUGAAGAGGGUGUUGGUGUAGUUGAGGGAGUGAUGGCAUCACUUGAUGUGACUGCUGAUGUAGUAUCACUUGGAGUGACAAUUGAUGUAGUUGAGGCAGUGGUGCCAUCACUUGAAGUGGGUGUUGAGGGAGUAGUGGCAUCACUUG